GACGAACGCUGGCGGCGUGCUUAACACAUGCAAGUCGAACGGAAAGGCCCUGCUUUUGUGGGGUGCUCGAGUGGCGAACGGGUGAGUAACACGUGAGUAACCUGCCCUUGACUUUGGGAUAACUUCAGGAAACUGGGGCUAAUACCGGAUAGGAGCUCCUGCUGCAUGGUGGGGGUUGGAAAGUUUCGGCGGUUGGGGAUGGACUCGCGGCUUAUCAGCUUGUUGGUGGAGUAGUGGCUUACCAAGGCUUUGACGGGUAGCCGGCCUGAGAGGGUGGCCGGCCACAUUGGGACUGAGAUACGGCCCAGACUCCUACGGGAGGCAGCAGUGGGGAAUAUUGCACAAUGGGCGGAAGCCUGAUGCAGCAACGCCGCGUGCGGGAUGACGGCCUUCGGGUUGUAAACCGCUUUCGCCUGUGACGAAGCGUGAGUGACGGUAAUGGGUAAAGAAGCACCGGCUAACUACGUG
This 468-nucleotide ribosomal RNA is filed under the name uncultured bacterium. RNAcentral's name for it is "partial 16S ribosomal RNA". It matches the Rfam family "Bacterial small subunit ribosomal RNA", at positions 28 to 507 of the family's 1533-position model. The record is from RNAcentral.